CAAUUAAAUUCUUAUUUUAAUAUUUUUGAAAUUGGUAGUUCACUUCAAUUUAUCAAGUAAAAGAUGUAUUUACAGAAUAAAUAACAAUGUUUUCCAAUUUCAAUACUGAACAUCCCAUAAUCAUCUCAGAACCCGGUGUCACAAGUGCAUGAGCCUUUUCUAGGAAUUUAAAAUAAAAUACAGUAACUGUCCGGAAUACAAAUUUGGACAGGAAGGAAAGUACAAUACUCUGAAGGAGACUCUGCUGGAUGCGGAGCGUCGUAUAGAAUGCAGCUCCCCUAAGUCCCCGCCAUAAUCGCACUUCUGCUCCCACAAGGCCGCUAAACAUAUAUGUACCUGCACAAAAAUGUGCAGCAAGUGUAGUAUGAGUACAUAAAUCAACGUGUACCCAGUAAGUAUCUCGCCUAACCCCGAAGAAGUAGUGACGAGGAGUCGACUUCGACACUUACUAUGGGCUAUAAAUAAAUGGAAUAAUAUCAUUAAAUUAUACAUGGAUUAAUUAAUACGGUUGCAAGCCAAUUAUUCUGAAGUAAGUAAAUAGUUCUUUCAUAAUUAAGGAAUCUCAAAAUUUUAUCUCCCACUAUUUAACGAUUAUAUCUCCGGCCAAUGAGGCAAUAUCCAAUUAUCAGUUUAUCUCAGACCAGGGAGGAAAUAUCGUUAUUUAUAAAUUUCAAGGCAAGCAAUACAAGGAUCCGUAAGUCAUGUUGAGGUCGUACGACCCGAUCCAAUAAUUAUUUAAAUUGCGCAAUUCCAGAGGGUUGAAUGGCGCGAACCAUAGAUGCAUCUAUUUAAUCUACCGAGGCCCGUUCCACAAAAGAUAACACAUUCAAAUAAUCAAUCAAGAAUUCAUCAAGGGGCAAUUAUCCAAGGAAAAAGGCAAAUUUCUCUUCUAAAAGUCAAGAAAAUGAUGUCUAGCCUUUUAAAAAUUUAUUAACAUAGUUUGAUAUGAUUUAAGCAUUUUAAAUUGACAACAGAUUUCAAAUAUUACAAGUAAAGCAUGCUUUUGGGUCCUAGACUACCCGAACUUAGGCAUAAUUGUAGCUACGCACGGACUCUCAUCACCUCGUGCGUACAUAGCCCCCACAAAUAGGAGCACACAGUGAUUUAUUUCACUUAUGGGAUAAAUUCCCUCUUACAAGGUUAGAAAGGAGACUUACCUUGCUCCGCAAUUUCAUAACCGGCUCCAAGGUCGCUCCGACAAUUUCAACUGAUGCUCGUCGCUCCAAAACUAGUCAAAUAUGAUGCAACCGAAUCAAAAUAUACUCUAAUACUCUUAAUUAAUCAUUUUAUAAACAUUUCCAACUCCG
This 1307-nucleotide long non-coding RNA is filed under the name Nicotiana tabacum (common tobacco). Its description in RNAcentral is "long non-coding RNA (NTAB_LNC006095)". The record is from RNAcentral. Lineage: Eukaryota; Viridiplantae; Streptophyta; Magnoliopsida; Solanales; Solanaceae.